Molecule: transfer RNA, 73 nt
Filed under: Pythium oligandrum
Lineage: Eukaryota; Oomycota; Peronosporomycetes; Pythiales; Pythiaceae
Also listed under: 1 other name
Rfam family: tRNA
About the family: Transfer RNA (tRNA) molecules are approximately 80 nucleotides in length. Their secondary structure includes four short double-helical elements and three loops (D, anti-codon, and T loops). Further hydrogen bonds mediate the characteristic L-shaped molecular structure. tRNAs have two regions of fundamental functional importance: the anti-codon, which is responsible for specific mRNA codon recognition, and the 3' end, to which the tRNAs corresponding amino acid is attached (by aminoacyl-tRNA synthetases). tRNAs cope with the degeneracy of the genetic code in two manners: having more than one tRNA (with a specific anti-codon) for a particular amino acid; and 'wobble' base-pairing, i.e. permitting non-standard base-pairing at the 3rd anti-codon position.
Source: Rfam by way of RNAcentral
GCGAAAAUAGCUCAAUUGGUAGAGUAUAACCUUGCCAAGGUUACUGUUGAGGGUUCGAGUCCCUUUUUUCGCU